GAUGAAGAACGUAGUGAAAUGCGAUAAGUAAUGUGAAUUGCAGAAUUCAGUGAAUCAUCGAAUCUUUGAACGCACAUUGCGCCCUCUGGUAUUCCGGGGGGCAUGCCUGUUCGAGCGUCAUUAUAACCACUCAAGCUCUCGCUUGGUAUUGGGGUUCGCGGUUCCGCGGCCCCUAAAAUCAGUGGCAGUGCCUGUCGGCUCUACGCGUAGUAAUACUCCUCGCGAUUGAGUCCGGUAGGUCUACUUGCCAGCAACCCCCAAUUUUUACAGGUUGACCUCGGAUCAGGUAGGGAUACCCGCUGAACUUAAGCAUAUCAAUAAGCGGAGGA
This 329-nucleotide unclassified non-coding RNA is filed under the name soil metagenome. RNAcentral's name for it is "partial contains 5.8S ribosomal RNA, internal transcribed spacer 2, and large subunit ribosomal RNA". The stretch from base 1 to 120 matches the Rfam family "5.8S ribosomal RNA", at positions 35 to 154 of the family's 154-position model. The record is from RNAcentral.